UACGGAGGGUGCAAGCGUUGUCCGGAUUUACUGGGUUUAAAGGGUGCGUAGGCGGGCAUGUAAGUCAGUGGUGAAAUACCGGAGCUUAACUUCGGAACUGCCAUUGAUACUAUAUGUCUUGAAUAUUGUGGAGGUAAGCGGAAUAUGUCAUGUAGCGGUGAAAUGCAUAGAUAUGACAUAGAACACCGAUUGCGGAGGCAGCUUGCUACACAAAUAUUGACGCUGAGGCACGAAAGCGUGGGGAUCAAACAGG
RNAcentral lists this ribosomal RNA (253 nucleotides) under uncultured bacterium. RNAcentral's name for it is "partial 16S ribosomal RNA". It matches the Rfam family "Bacterial small subunit ribosomal RNA", at positions 524 to 776 of the family's 1533-position model. The record is from RNAcentral.